Molecule: long non-coding RNA, 512 nt
Filed under: Gallus gallus (chicken)
Lineage: Eukaryota; Metazoa; Chordata; Aves; Galliformes; Phasianidae
Description: long non-coding RNA NONGGAT006939
Source: RNAcentral
ACAGGAUUCAUGAGAUGCAUAUGUCCUUCUGGAAUGAUAUCCUCCAGAGGGCCGUGUGGAAUCGUCCUAAUCCGGGAAGAGCCACUGCCUCCCUGUGUGAUCUGACACAGUGACAUAUCACUUGACCUCGGUCGCGGCAGCUGUACAGCGAGGUGGAAAAGGCGGCUGACGGACAAGCAGGGGAUGCCUUUCAGCACAGCUUCCUCGGGAUACAGUUGAGAAGAAUGUAUGCUAUAUGGAAGAACACGCAGAAGUUGUGAGCAACCACACGGUCUGAAUGUUAAGGGUUCAUCCAUCUUCCUGCACAAGAAUGCCUUUAUCUGGAAAAGACAAACAUCCCAGGAGUCUGUAAGAAGUAAGAAGUAAGCUGUUGCAGCUUGAAUUUGUGAGAGGACUUCUGUGGAGCCUGAACCACCUCCCUCCAUCUCAAAGGAGACCGAGCCUUCCCUCUUUCUUAAAGGUUGGUACAAUAUCCAGGUAUGGUCCUUCGCCUUCUGUGUUUUAAAAAUGCC